GGUUGAACAAAUAUUAAUUUGUUUUCAAGAGCAUUUGAAUUUCUGGGGUGGGAAAUU
This 57-nucleotide non-coding RNA is filed under the name Clostridium felsineum. RNAcentral's name for it is "Clostridium roseum Na+-I sequence". It matches the Rfam family "Na+ riboswitch aptamer (DUF1646)". Rfam says of the family: Proteobacteria, NC10, Acidobacteria, Verrucomicrobia. Lineage (Clostridia) The riboswitch of Na+ was first reported in a comparative analysis of intergenic regions and called DUF1646 RNA, it was also suggested that it acts as cis-reg RNA present upstream of Na+ genes. Lineage: Bacteria; Bacillati; Bacillota; Clostridia; Eubacteriales; Clostridiaceae. The record is from RNAcentral.